GACGAACGCUGGCGGCGUGCUUAACACAUGCAAGUCGAACGGAAAGGCCCUGCUUUUGUGGGGUGCUCGAGUGGCGAACGGAUGAGUAACACGUGAGUAACCUGCCCUUGACUUUGGGAUAACUUCAGGAAACUGGGGCUAAUCCCGGAUAGGAGCUCCUGCUGCAUGGUGGGGGUUGGACAGUUUCGGCGGUUGGGGAUGGACUCGCGGCUUAUCAGCCUGUUGGUGGGGUAGUGGCUUACCAAGGCUUUGACGGGUAGCCGGCCUGAGCGGGUGACCGGCCACAUUGGGACUGAGAUACGCCCCAGACUCGUACGGGAGGCAGCAGUGGGGAAUAGUGCACAAUGGGCGGAAGCCUGAUGCAGUAACGCCGCGUGCGGGAUGACGGCCUUCGGGUUGUAAACCGCUUUCGCCUGGGACGAAGCGUGAGUGACGGUAAUGGGUAAAGAAGCACCGGCUAACUACGUG
This 468-nucleotide ribosomal RNA is filed under the name uncultured bacterium. Its description in RNAcentral is "partial 16S ribosomal RNA". It matches the Rfam family "Bacterial small subunit ribosomal RNA", at positions 28 to 507 of the family's 1533-position model. The record is from RNAcentral.